This 145-nucleotide ribosomal RNA is filed under the name Clostridium sp. NJ4. RNAcentral describes it as "partial 23S ribosomal RNA". It matches the Rfam family "Bacterial large subunit ribosomal RNA", at positions 2785 to 2925 of the family's 2925-position model. Lineage: Bacteria; Bacillati; Bacillota; Clostridia; Eubacteriales; Clostridiaceae. The record is from RNAcentral.
GCGUGAAGCCCACCUCAAGAUUAGAUUUCCCAUAACAUAAGUUAGUAAGACCCCUGUAAGAACAACAGGUGAUAGGUCAGAGGUGUAAGAAUGGUAACAUUUUAAGCUGACUGAUACUAAUAGGUCGAGGGCUUGACCAAUAUAA